Populus nigra (black poplar) is the source of this 1115-nucleotide long non-coding RNA. RefSeq lists it as uncharacterized. The record is from RefSeq and is a predicted model, not a curated record. NCBI's taxonomy places the organism in Eukaryota, Viridiplantae, Streptophyta, Magnoliopsida, Malpighiales, Salicaceae. The transcript is spliced from 2 exons.
AUUAAUGUAAUGAGCCUUUCCUAAAUAGAGUUAUGUAUAGGCUAUAUAUAUGCCUCCUCUGUUGAUCUAAAAAGUGGGGAAGAAACGAGAAAAAGAGAGGAAAAAAGGAGAGAGGGAGAGGAAACAAGUAAACAGAGAGAGAGAGAGAGAGAGAGAGAGAAAAGAUGAGAAAGAAAAACGAGAGUGACAGAGGAGACUGAAACAGAGAGAGGAGAAAGAAAAAGAGAAAAGAGGGACGAGGGAGAGGAAACAGGUAAGCAGAGAAAGAAAAGGAAAAGACAGAAGGGAAAAAGGGGGAGAGAAAAAAAAAAGAGGGGGAGAGAGACCAAAAAACAAAUGGAGGAGAAAGAAAAAAAACAUAGGGAACAAGGAGAAGACCGAGAAUAGGAAAGCAGAGAAAGCAAGGAGGAAGAGAGAGCUGAUCACCUUCAGCCUAUCUUACCUUGCCGGAUAGGACAUCACAAAACUCUGAAAGGGGUGGAAAGAGCUCCUAACAGCAAAAGGAGGAGGUCUUUCUUCGGUUACUAGAGGCAAAAAAAACAGAAUUUUUCUUUUCAUCAGUUUACACUUCACCUGUUACAUUCAAAGCAAGAAAUAUCAGCAGACAUUCGAGUUCUGUUUUGGCAACAAAGUUGCAAGGUUGCUAUUGUUUCGUCCAUGGCUGUGAUUUCUAAAUGGGUGUGUAUGUUGGUGCCGCGGGGUUUUCUUUUUCCAUUUUCGGGAGGAAUCAUGUGCUUUAAAGUUUCUCAUUAUCCCCCACUCGUCUGUUCGGUUUUUUUUUCUUCCCUUUUUUUGCAUACAACGAGUGUGGUAGCUCCCAAGAUUAGGAAAGCAGUAAAGAGGUGUAAGUCACGGUUCCUGUAAUAAUUUCCGUUUCAGAACUCUGUUUUUUUUUCGUGCAUACAUACUUGUGCCUUAUUUUAGAGAAAGAUGGGUCAGGCUUUAGGCUUUGAGUUUAAAUCGGUGUCGAAUCUUGUUUAUUUAAGAUGAACUGUUUUAGGUUUUUUUGUGAAUUUUGGAAUAGACAGGUAUGUUUUGUUUUGCUAAUUGUGAUGUUUGUAUUUAAUUGUAUUGUUUCUAUUUUGAUAAAAAAAAAAAGUAAAAAUAUUUUCUUA